CACUGAUCAUUCUUCUCCUCUUGUUCUCUGCUCCUCUCACCGCUUAUCUGUAGUAUCCUUCCUUCUUCAACUUCGACUUUCACUUCCUCUUUCUUGAUCCCCGGCACGUCUACUUUGAAGAUGUGAUCUUGUGGGGUCUCUUUCCAAUCGAUUCUUGCAUUUGCGAAAGCAGAGGUUUCACGAGCUGAGGAGGGGGUGUUAGCGAUUGUGCUUGAAAUUGGGAAGCCUUCGAAUGGAUCCCAUAAGUCGAGGGAAAAUGGGUCGAAGAUGUUGCUCCUGCGACCAUCGAAGAAGCUUGGAAUCAGAGACAUCUUGGGGAAUUUGUUGUUUGAAGAAAGCAAAAGAUUGUAUUAUGAAGCUUGAGUUUUUCUUUGAUAGUAGUGUUUGAUUUGCUGAUAUAAAUUUGAGAAAAUGUUGUGCUAUUUAUAGGCGAUGAACCAAGAAACCUGUGUAAUUCCAAUAUAAUCAAGGAUGUUCACCAGAGAAUUCAACAAUAUUCUACAACUUCUUAUCCAAUUUGAGGCUAAUCCAGGAUGUUCUUUGGUUAAUUUUUAAUAGGAAAAAUAAGAGGCUUCUACAAUAUUCCAGAGAAUUUUUUUCUGAAGCGUUUAAGUCAUAAUUUCAGUAGUGCAUACAAAGGUAAAAUGACUCGGGAGGCUUUGUAAUUGACUCUGUUUGUUAGCUGAAUCCGUCCAACUCCCUCCACAAUUGUCAAUUGAACUCCUAAAUCUCCCGUGGUAAGCCCGGCCCAAAGUCAAGAUAUAAACAUAAUAAUGUAAAUUUAAAAAUAUAAUUUAUAUCAUAUAUUUUUUUACUUUAUAAUUAGUAUAAUCAGAUGGCAUAUUAAACAUAUCUUAUUGAUAAGUUUUCAUAAUUAGUAAAAUACUGAAUCACAUAAUUGGAUAAAUUUUUUUUAAAUCUAAUUUGUGAGGACGAAAAUAUUACCAGAGUAUUAUAAUAUAUCAAAAUGCUACAAGUAAUUCGAUAUUUUAUAAAAUAAUAUGAUUUAAAAUAUGUAAUAAUUAGGAUUCAAAGAAGAUCACAAUAGAAAAUAUUGAUAUUUUUAUAAAUUUGUGGGUACGUAAUUAUUUAGUUAUAUAUAGAAAUAAAUUAUAUUUAUUGAGUUUUAGUUUCUCUCGUGUGUGAUUUCAGUAGCAAGACUUUUACAACAUAUUCUUUUUCAUCUUAUAGAAUUAUCUGAAAUAAAAUAUUUCAAUGACUUCAAGAUUAUAUUAUAACAAUUAUAUCCUUAAUUUAGAGUCAUUAUAUAAAUUAACUUAAUAAUGAUCUAUAAGAAUAUUAAACAAUAAUUAAACUAACAUUAAUAGAUUACUCCAUUUGGUCGAUUUAGUUGUUAUGUAUAUUUUUAUAUGCCCCUUAAAAUAAUACCUAUUCACUCCAUUUUAAUUAUUUCUUUAUCUUUUUUCAUAUCCACCAAGAAUUAUAUUAUUUAUUAAGUUAUUUUAUGUAUUAUAUAUGUCUGGAGGGUCGAAUAUAAUAUUAGAAAAAUCUAUAAGGUAAUAGUUGAAAUCAUUAUAAAAUUUAAUUUUAUAUUAAGUUAUCUUGAAUAAUUUUUUUGAGUUAAAGAUAUUGUUGAAUUAAGAUAAAGGAAAUUUUAAUUAAAAGACAAUCUAGCAAGUGGCAAGAAGAAACCAAUUACAAAAUUUUAAAUCUAAUGAUCUUAACAAGAAAAAUAAGGGCAAAAAUAAAAAUAUAUUAAAAAAAUCACCAUCACUUGCUAUGUGUAAUAACCUUAUUUGACCAAAAAAAUAAAAUAUCAAAAAUGCCCUUGUGAAGACUAUCGAAAAUUGAUAUCCUCUCUUAUAUAUAGUAUAGUAGUAAUAUAUAUAUAUAUAUAUAUAUAUAUAUAUAUGAAGAAGCUUCAAGGUUUAAGUUGAAAAUCACCAAAAUAAAAAAAUUGUAUGGACUACAAUAGAUAAGAAAAAUAUCUUAGGAACACAAAAUCAAGGACUCGUACCAAUUACAAACAAGAUAGGAGUAGUAUUUGUUAUAUCUUGAGCAUUACCAGCCGAAGCUAUGGACUCAAAAUCUAUCACCCAAGACCCACAUCGUCACUUCGUUUGUUUCCUCCGAUCCAACAUUUAUAUGUGAUUAAGUUGCGUAGAGCGGCAGAGGUAAACCUUGCAUGGACCCUUACACUUUGUUUGGAUGGUGGUUUGCUAUGAUUUCAUAAUAUACGCUACAGUAUGAGAUGGUAUGGUAUUGUACUUUGGAUGGUUGGAAUAUACUAAAAUAUCCCUAUGAAAUUAUUUUAUUCAAUCACUUAUUCCAGGAACUAAGUAAUAUGAAUACCAGCUACAAAUUGUAUAUCUCAAAAUUAUUAUCCUUAUCUCACCAAUCAAACAAUCCAAAUUUUUUUUUAACUUAACAAUGCAUAUAUAUAUUUUUUCAAAAUUAUUAUCCUUAUCCCACCAAUCAAACAACCAACCCGAAGGUUUUCAUAAUUUGACAACGCAUAUAUAUAUAUAUCUUUUGCGAGGUGACGAUAUGAAAGCAGUAUUAGUCCUGUAUGUAAAGUGAACGGGCUGAUGAUUUCAGAAACUUCAUUUAAAUAGAGAAAUAAUACCGGAUAUUUUCAUACAUAUGCAAGGAUAACAAUUCCCAAAAUUCUAUAAAGUUCAUUAAGUGUUGCAAGUCGAAAUUGUUCUAAAUAUAUCCCGUAACAAACUAACAAUCCAUUGGCUACUAAUUUUACAUCGAAAAACCGUCAUAUGUAAAUCUCAAUACCAAGAUCAAAAUUUUAGCAAAAGAGUGAUCUCCAUAGGUUAAGGCUCCUUCAAACAAAGUUCAGAUUUACUAAAUUAACAAAGCACUACUCUUCUUAGUGAAAAAUCAUCACCCAAUCUAGAGACUAAUUUUUUUAAAAAAGUUUUCCUUCUACGCUUGUCUUUAGAUCAUUUAAAAAAGUGAAAACUAAUCAAAUCAGUUAUCUCAAGGAAUCAACACGCUUCUUUCCAUCAAAAAUUGUCUUUUAACUUCUCAUCACAAAUUAUCACCUUCUCGUUUUGACGACCCUACAAAGGUAACAUAUGGCUAAGUAUCAACCCAACUAUAUAUAGAUAGAUGGUAACCCCCAUAAAGAAAGAACAAGUAGAAAUGCACUUCAAACAGUGGAGUACAGUAGAAGAAAGCAUGGCCGCCUUUUUACGUAUCACCCAAUACGAAUUAUAAGUGCAAUGCAGAAUAUACGGUAUUAGUAAUACUUGCAUUAGUAAUGCUUAUAUUAAUUAGUUAUAUUGAUAUUGUUUCUUAUACAUUAUUUAAUUUGACAUGUUAAAAAUAAUAUAUCUUAUAUAAUUUAUAUAAAAGAAAUAUUUAUUUAUAAAACUAUCCUUCUUUGAUUUAUUACAUUUUUUUCAACAAAAUUCGUUUGCCAUCUCAAACAUAAUUAGUGUUGUUGAACUAGUAUAUAGAGGUUUAGGAUUAAUUGCAAGACCGUCGUCUUUACGCAUGAAAUGUUAUGCAGGCGGAUUAACAUAAUCGAAACAAAAAUAAAAUACAAGAUAUAGAAUAAAGGAAUAGUCUCAAUUUUUUUAUUUAAUUUUUUUAAAGACCCUCGAAGCAAAGCAAAGAUGCAGUUAUUUAAACCAACAAUUCAUUAUUGGAAAUUAAAAUGGUGGAAAAAGAUAUUUUAAUAUGUUUUGAAAAGAUUUACUGUUGCAAAUUAAAAUGGUGAAAAAAAAAUUGUGAAAUAUUUUGAGAGAAAAAUUGGAUAUAUUAAGGUCAUUUAAUAGGUUAAUGCAUGUCUUUAAAGUUUUUGUAUUACUAAUACAUAGGAAAUGGUGUGUAUUACUAAUACACAUCUCAAUAUACAAUAGAAUAUAUAUCUAAUGUUUGUAUUAGUUAUAUAUAGGCAAAAAGAUGUACCAAACAAGGUACUAGUAACACACAUUAACUAAUGCAUGCAUUAUAUUUUCCAAUAUGCUCUACCGAACGAUCCUGGUACAAAGAGAAGUUAUCCAUGAUUAACAAUACUGGAAUUAGCAAUGUAAAAAUUGCAGUGCUGAAAUUAUUUUUCAUCAAGUAUUUGAUUCAUUAUAUUAAAAAUUAGAUAUAUCAUGUAUUGUAUUUGAAUUUAAAGUUGUACAAAAUCUUCUUCAGAUUUAUAUCCUUAAAUUUCUGUAGAAUUUUUUUACUUUAUUUAACUAAUGGAAAAUGGUCAAAAGCCCUCCCCCAAACCUUUACCCCAAAUCCCAACUACGCACUCAACUUUUAAAUGUGACCUAUUACCCCCGGAACUAUUUUAAAGUAGAAUUAUUAUCCCCUGAAUUAUUUUAAAGUGAAAUUAUUACCCCCCUCCCUCCCCCUUCCCCAAAAACCCCCCUCCCCUCCCGAAAAUUGACAACCAGUCAUUUGAAAUGUGGUGUGAUACACGCGCUGCCACGUCAUUUUUUUAUUUACUCUAAAAAAGUUAAUUAUUUAACUUUAUUAUUUUUUUUCUUCCCCAUUUUUCAUUUUGCUCCAUUUUCUUCUUCAAUCAAUUUCAUCUUCUUGGGUCAAAUAUAGAAUUCUUGGGAAAAAAAAUGACGGAUUAAUGAAGUUCUUGAAUGACGGGUUAAUGAAGUUCUUGAAUGGGGUUUUAAUGAAGUUCUUGAACCUAAUUUCAUCUCUUUUUGCUCAAGAUCACCAUUAGUGGCGAAUUCUUCCCCAUUGUGGAAAUUCAAAGCUUUGAACUCGCCAUUAAUGAUGGAUCUUGAGUAAAAAUAGAGAAAAUCGAAAAAAUGGGUUGAACAUUAUACGUGGGUUAUGUUGGAAAUUAUGUAUGGCAUUGUGGAAAUUCGAAGCUUUGAGCUUGCCAUUAAUGGUGAUCUUGAGCAAAAAGAGAGGAAAUCGAAGUUGAAUUUUUUCAAGUUUUUUGAAUCGGAGUUCCCCAACUUCUUCAUUCAAGAAUUCAUUAAUCGGAGAAAUCUUAUUGUUUCCUUAGUUCAAGUGUUUCUUGGUUUCGAUUUCAGAGCAAAGAGAAUUUCUUGAUUUCGGAGAAAUCCAUUAAUGAGGAAGAUGAGAAACCCCAUUAAUGAGUUCUUAAAUUUUUGUUUUAAAAAAGAAAAGAAGAAGACAUGACGUGUCAAUUAAAAUUCAUUAAGAAAAAGUAAUAAUUAAAAUAUUUAUUAUAUUAUUAAAAAUAAUGACGUGACAAUAAAAAAUAAAGAAUUUAAAGUGAAAUGGGGUCAACUGACGCGCCCAUGGGCGAGUGUAGUCACGUCCAAUGACAGGUCAGCAAUUGGUGGUAAUAAAUUCGAUAAAAAUAAUUUUAGGGGGAUAAUAGGUCACUUUUAAAGGUUGAGUGCGUAGUUAAGAUUUCGACUAAAGGUUGGACGGUAAUAGACCAUUUUCUCUUUAACUAAUCAAAUUACUCACUUUUUAUGCGAUCUUAUAAAAAAGUUAAAAUAUAAAUAAUAAUUCUUACUCCGCUUAAUUAAUUAUUUACUUAUUUUUUAAAAAAUUGGGCCUAGUUGAUUUAAAAAAAAUUUAAACAGUAAAAAUAUAUUGUAUAAGAACAACAUGGAUUAUUGAUAAUGUAGUUUCAUAAUUUUAAAUUAUAUAUUUAUUGACAAUAAUCUACUCGUUUUAAAUCAGUCAGUCUAUAAAUUGAAUAAUUACAAAUAGAAUAAAUGUUAGCUUACGUUUGAAGCUAUCAAUCAACAUGAGAGAGAAAAUGACAUUUAGGUGCAAAUUAAAUAUGGUAUAACCAUUAAAUUUGAGGUUAGAUUUAAUAUGAAAAUAAAAGAAAGCUUUUAUUAAAAAAGUAGUUAAAUUAUUUAAUUCUCUUAUUUAUAUAUUAUUAAACAACGUAUAAAUAAUUUUAUGAUUUUUAAAGUAUAGAUAAUCUACUCUAUAGUGUAUAAGUGUGUAUAAGUUAUUCAUGUAUUAGCUGAAAUUAAAUUUAACUAGAACAAUCAAAUAUUAUAUUAGCUGAAAUUAAAUUUGAAUAGAACAAUCAAAUAUUAUAUUGAGAAAAUAGUCUAUUACCUCCAACCUUUAGUCGAAAUCCCAAUUACAUACUCAACCUUUUAAAGAUACCUAUUAUCCCCUUAAUCUAUUUUUUUUUCUAUAUUUAUUACUCCCUGACCUGUCAACAUAAACCAAGUAAUAAGACAUUCAUGCAUUUCAUGCGCCUGGCCCACACCUAAACAUAACAAAAUAUCUUUUUUCACAAUUUCAUUUUCAAUUUCCUCUCUCCUCUCUCUUCUCUCUAAACCUUUCAUCUUCCUCUCUCCUCUAUCUUCUCUCUAAACUGCGAUUUCAUCUAUUUUUUUGGGGGAAUUUUUGUUAUAAUUGAGAUAUUUUGGGUGUGAAUUUUCAAAGAAUCAUCUUGUUGCUGUUACAAGGUGUUUUUUUUUUCCGUAAACUGAAAAAAAUUGAAUUAGAAUUUUUAGCUAAUCUCCAAAUUUACAAAUUAAUUGAGUGAAAUUAACUGAUUCUUACUGUUAUGGCGUUGUCUCAGUGUUCGAUUAACAACAUAAUUCGUUCGUAAGUACAUGUUUUGUUGAUUGUUUAAGUGAGUUUAUUAGAAAUUAGCGCUUUUCUUCGAUUUGUUGUUAAUGUGAAAACUUAAAAAUUCAAUUGUGUUUAAUAGGAAGUGCGUGUUAAUAUGUUGUUAAUUUGAGUGAUUUUUUCCAAAAUUGAGUUAAAAUUAAAUAGAGUUUUAUGCUAAUUCCCAAAAUUUAAAAUUAAUUGAGUGACAUUAAGCUGUGGUUUUUGCUAUUAUAUUGUCUACGUGUUUGAUUAACAACAUAUUACGUUUCUAAUUACAUCAAAUUAGAAUUUUUGUUGAUUGUUUAAGUUGGUUUAUUAGAAAUUAGAGCUUUUGUCCGAUUUGUUGUUAAAAUGAUAAAAUUUCUCAAAAUCAAUUGCGUUUAAUAGCAUGUGUAUGUUAAUGUCCGAAACUAUGACUCAGAUAACUCAGCAGUGUGUAGAGCUAUGUCGAUCUGAAGAUAAUAAAAUUUCAGAGCUAAAAAAAGACGUUGGUAAACUCCAUAAAACCCAUAACGUUUAUUAUUAUUUUGGUUUUUAAUUUUGUAGCAUGUUCAUGAUUUUUUUUUCUUUUUCCAUAAUGUUUCUACUAUGCUACUAUGUCUUGUUUGAUUCUUUAUUGUGAUCAGGUAAGACAUGAAUGAUUUUACGUUGAUAACUCUAAGAUAGUACCAUGGUGAGGUCUUACAUUUUAGUAGGGGAAAACCAGUUUAUAAGGGGGGGUUAGUAACAGAAUUUUUGAAUGUUGACGUAGAUAAGAUGUCAUAUUUUGAGUUGAAAGACUAUAUUAAAAAUUGGGACAUAGCAUAACUUGCACUUUUAGUAUUAAAGCAUUUAACUAUGGCAUUUUGGUAGAUGUUGAUAAUGAUAUGGAUAUUUUUGAGAUGAUGUGUUCCUUGCAAGAUGGGGAUGAAGUAGAGGUAUUUGUCAACCAUUUGUUGAUGAGCCAGAUGUAGUGGCCCCCCCUCCCCCAAACCUUUAUUUUUAGAAAAUGUCUGUCCUAGAAAUUUAGAGGAAUCUGGUGCAUCUUUUAAUACUAAGCCUAACUUUAGGGUAAGUGGGGACCAUUUAAAUGUGGAGGACCCUACUUCUUUUUUUCCAACCACACCUCCUUUCAAUACCACACCUCUUUUCACUACUGCAUUAAGUGUUGCUGUAACAACUAAUGCUGCAGUAGAUGAUAUAGAUGUUGGUCUUGCUGGAUUUGAUUUUUUAGAAGAAGAAGUAGAGGCUUCUGAUUAUUCUACUGAGAAUAAUGUUGAGUCAGAAGGAGAAUUAGUUGGAGAUGAUGAUGAAGAGGAGUAUGGUAAUGAUGUACCUGAGGAGGUUAGGGAGUUGAGAGUUGAAAAGAGAAAGUUUCAAAGGAGAAAAAGAAAUGAGAGAGUACCAACUGACAAUGCAGAGGUACCAGUAGGUGAAGUAGUACCAGAUCUAGGUUUUGAUGAAACUGAAACCGGUAGAGUAAGUUAUGAAGGAAGGCUUGGAGGUGAUGAGCCUUACUUUGCAAGUUCUGAUGAGGAUAGUUUUGUAUUAGAUGAAGAUGAUUGUUGUGAUGAUGAUGAACAUGAAAUGGUUCAUUCUGGUAGAGCAAGAACUAUGAAGUUGUCAAAAAAGAGGACAACAAAUCAAAAAAUCAUUCAUGACCCAACUGCAAAGGAAGUUGUUUGCCAGUUACGUAUGGUGUUUAAAGAUAUGAGUGAAUUUAGAAAAGCAGUGACUAAAUAUGUAAUAAGAAAAAGGGUUCUUGUAGAGAAGUGGGUUAAUGAGCCAAAAAAGGUUAGAGUUAGGUGCAAUGAUGGCUGUCCAUGGCUUUUAUUUGCAGGUCUUGACAAGACAACAAAUGAUUUCAUGAUAAAAAACUUAUAUUCCAAAGCAUACUUGCAAUAAGACAACCAGAAAUUACUUGUGCAAUGCAAAGUUCUUAGCUGAAAUCUUUAGAGAAAGAAUAGUUGAGCAACCCAACAUAAGAGUAUUCAAGUUGCAAAAGUUGAUUAGAAAAAAGUUCAAACUUUAUGUUGGUAAGAUCACUGUGAGAAAAGCAAGGUCUAAAGUCUUAAAGGAGAUAAUGGGUGAUCAUGUUGUAGAAUUUGGAAGAAUCCUUGACUACAAAGAUGAACUGUUGAGGAUAAAUCCGGGGACCAGUUGCGUUGUCAAACUUGGUGAGGCUGAUGAAGCAGGUAAACCAAAAUUUCAGACUUUUUACAUAUGCUUUGAUGUUUUGAAGAAGGCAUGGGUACAUUGUAGGAAGUGCAUAGAUUUAUAUGGUUGUUUUCGUAAGGGUAUUUGUAAAAGCCAAUUGUUAGUUGUUGUUGCCAAGGAUGGAAAUAACUAGAUGCUGCCACUUGCUUGGGCAAUAGUUGAAAAACAGAAUACAAACACCUGGACAUGGUUUAUUAGGUGCAUUAGGGAUGACCUAAGACUUGAAGAAGGUGAAAGUCUCACCCUGAUUACAGAUAUGCAGAAGGUAUGUACAGUAUUUUAUGUUUAACCUCAUUUCUUUUUAAUUUAACUUAGUACAUGUAAUUAUGCCCUAACUUCACCCUUUUUUUGUUAUGUAUGUUUACUGAAAGGACUGUUUGUAGCAAUUGAGGAGGUGUUACCUCAAUCUGAACAUAAAAGAUGUGCAAGACACAUCUUAGCUAAUUGGGCUAAGGAUUGGAGAGGUCUUCAAAGAAGACAACAAUUUUGAAAGAUAGCAAAAAGUACAUUUGAGUCUCAAAUGAGGAAGAACAUACAGAAGAUGAAGUUGCUUGGUCCUGGAAAAAUGAUGUAAGACUUAAUGUACUGCAAUAUUAAUUACUGGUGCAAGCUUUACUUCAACACAGAAGUAAAGUUUGAUUCAGUGGAUAACAACAUGAGUAAGUGUUUUAAUGCAUCGAUCUUGGCAGUUAGCAGAAGACCAUCAUUUUCCUGCUUGAAGAAAUAAGAGUGAAGAUGAUGACAAGAAUAGGCACUCUAAGGGAGUUUCCAAAUACCUGGUGUAGUAGUUACUCACCAAGGUGUUUGAAGAUUUUAGAGGAGAACAUCAACAGGGCUCUGGAUUGUACCAUUAAGUUUAAUGGAGUGACUGGUUUUGAAGUGAAAGAAGGGCUUUGUCAACACACAGUGGAUAUUAUCAAGAGGACAUAUAGGUAUAGGUUGUGGCAGUUAAAGGGCAUACCAUGUGCACAUGGUGUGGCUGCACUAUUGUUCAAGAAACAUCCCUUGUAUGACUAUAUUGACAGCUGCUACAGUAAGGAAACAUACUUGAGGACUUAUGCAAAUGUUCUUAAACUAUUAACAAACAUGAAAAUGUGGCCUGUUUCAUCAAACAUUACUGUUGCACCACCUGAAAUUAGUACCUUGCCUAGCAGGCCAUCUAAGUCUAGGAAGAAGGAAGCUGGAGAAACAAAAAAAUCUGCAAAAUUGCCUAGAACUGGACUUGCAAUGACAUGUAGGUUGUGUCAUGUAGGUUGUGUCAUGUUAGAGGCCACAACAAAAGAAGGUUCCCUCUAAGAGGACAAUCAGCAGAACCAAGUGUUGCACUAUCAGUAACACCUACUGGUUCAGGCAUUGGAAGAGGCAGACCAAAGGUAAGUUUAACACUUAAUUUAGUAUAUUACUUAUCUUACUUCUAAAAUUUCUUAACAUUAUUUUAAUAUGUAGAAAACUACACCAAAAACACCAAAUGCACCUCCUCAAGUCAGUGUUGGUUCAGGCAGGGGAAGAGGCAGACCAAAGGUAAUUUUACACUUGUACUAAUUAGCUCAAUAACUUUUAUAUAACUCUCUUCUUUUUAUAUGUAUAGAAAACUCCAUCAGAAAUCAUUAAUGCAUGUCAACAACAAAAAAAAGAAGAAGAAGGAGACCAAAAAAGGCAACACUAGCAGCACCUAGUGCAUCUCCUCUACCUAAAACACCUUCUGCGCCUACUAUUUUUCCAGCAUCCUGUUCUGCACCUUCUGAUUAUUGUGCAUCAUCUUUAAUGGCUGGUAUUACUAAAAGGGGAAGGGGUAAUGAUAAGGAAAAAACACCUCCAUUGAAAAGGUCAAAAGUAAUGGGAAUGGGUGUGUUCCAAGAUGAAAAUGGAUUCAAAGUCCUAAAUGUAAGUAUCUAGCUUUGUUGUAUCUUGUGUACAUAUGAGUCUUUAAUGUAUAAGUUUUUGAAUAAUUUUUAUCCUUCACUGUAGCCUGGCAUGCCUAGCAGUAAGAUCUGCUCUAUUGGUCAUGCAAGGGUAACAAGAUCAGCUGAUAUAACUGGUAACAUUGGUUAUACACCAAGUACUACUAAUAAGCUGAAAUUGAAUGGCAAAGUAGCAAUAUGAACGAAAAAACUACAAGAUAUUAAAGAGAAGAAAAGAAAGAAGAAUGUGCGAAGCAGUUCAAAUAAUUCAAGUCAAGAAAAUACUUCUUCAAAGUCCAAGAUGCCCUGAAAAUUGUAGUAAUGUUGAUUAUUUUAAGCACUGUUUUAAGUUAGACCAAUUGAAAUGAAAAUAAUUUUAUUUUGGUGCUGAAAAAUAAUUUAAGCACUGUAUAUAUAUUUUGUUGAUGAAUGUUGCCUAAUGGUUGGUAUGAAUGAUGAUGUUGUGCCUAAUGGUUGGUAUGAAUGAUGAUGUUGUGUGAAGUCGAAUAUUUUGUUGAUGAAUGUUGUCAUUAGGUAUUAUUGUUGUGUUAAAUGAUGGUAAAGUUGAUAUAAUGUCAACACAACAUUGUCAUUACACGAUUUAAGUGUAAAAACAUAGCAGCAGCACGGUGCUUUGUCUAACAAGACACAACUUUGAAAGUGUAAACAAUAACAUAGCAACAACAAAAGACACAAUAAGUGUAAACAAUAACAUAACAGUAAUACACAACACAAUUUUGUAAAUGUAAACAACAACGUAGCAGGAGCACAACACAAUUUUAAAAGUGAAAACAAUAACAUAGCAGCAACACAAAUGCAAACAAUAACAUAGCAGCAGCAACACAAGUGCAAACAAUAAUAUAGCAGCAACACAACAAACAUCUGAAGUACGACUAAGCAAAAGACACCAUAACAGAACAUAAUCUGAUAUAUUUAGAGAGAGAUAUACAAAAUUUACACCAUAGUAGACAAGAUCUAGCAACUAGUUUUAGUUCAUUUGUUGCUGAUGAACAUAGCAACAACACAAAUCAAAAUAAAUUAAAAUAUCUUCCUAUUGAACCUACACCAUCUCCAUUUUCUAUUAAGCUUUUUCUCCCGCGUCAAGUUAUCAAUUUGGACUUGUUUAAGCCAUACGUCUUCUUCCAACUCAUUGAUUUUUUUCACCAAUCUUGGAAAUAUAAAAUUUGAUCUUGAAUCCACUUUUUCUUUGUCCCUUUGUAGGAAAAAAUUAUAUUUUUGAGACUAAAAUUUUUUUUAGAAAUCAGUACAUUAUCAUAAUUUGAAUAUAAAUUGACGGCAAAAUACAAUGCAAAAUACAUAUACCAUAGUAGAGGCAAGACCAAAAUCUUCUUCCCGGAUUUAACUUCGACCAUGAAGUUUGCAAGUUAAGAAAAAUACCAUGUUUGCAUCUCACAACAACAUUGACCAUUGGAUCUGAUUCAUCUACACAAAGUUUAUUCAAUUUCGAAUUUGUCAUUUCAUGAAUUUCGACAAAAUUAAUGAUAAAAUUACAAACCCUAAAUUAAUAGUUGAACCAAACUACAAAACAAAACUUCACGAAUUGAAGUACAAAUUGGGAUUAAAAAUUAAAACGUACGUUAAAGAAAUAGAAAAAAAAUGGAGAAACAUGAAGGAAAAUGAUGGACAAGAACAAGGGUCUUAUAAAGAAGAAGAUGACCGUUGGAAGAGAGAGUAUUUUUUCAUCUUUAUUUCAUCAAAUAAUCAAUUAAUGAUGUGUAUAUUAUGUGGAAGGUUAAAAUUUUAAUUUUAGAUGUGCUGGGGCUAAACCAACGCGUCUAGAGGGAGUGUUCUCACCUUCCUUGUCAGGUCAACAUUUGGGGUAAUAAAUAUAGAAAACAGGUCAGCAUUUGAGGUAAUAAAUAUAGGAAAAAAUAAAUUAGAGGGUAAUAGGUCAUCUUUUGAAAAUUAAGUGUGUAGUUAAAUUUUGACUAAAGGUUGAUAUUAGCUGAACAAAAUUUUAACCAUAAACAAUAGUCCUAAAUAGAACAGGAUUCAUUCACACGACAACUUGCUUCUUGUAUUGAAGAAUUAGAAGAGGGGUUCUUAAGGAUCAUUCCUUACAAAUAAUUCUAAGAGAAAGAAAAGAGACGCAACUACUUUAAAUAAAUGAUAAAAGGAAAUUAUUUAUUAAUCAAACUCAUAACAUUUUCUUGAUUACAAUUGUAAGACGAAGACCCACAACCUUAGACAAAUUACAGACACACAUCAUUCAGAUUGAAACAAACAUUAUUGACUGACAAAGGGAGUUCGACAAACAACAGUUGAUUUGCAAUUCUUCUUCAACCAAAGAUGUCAAUCGCCUUCACCUCAUGUUUCUUCUCCUCUUCCUUCGGAACAGUCACAGUGAGCACUCUGUUCUCCAUAGCUGCCUUAAUUUCCCCUAUUUUCGUAUUCUCCGGCAGCCUAAAUCUCCUCAAAAACUUGCCGUUGCUCCUCUCCAUACCGUGCCACUGAUCAUUCUUCUCCUCUUGCUCUCUGCUUCUCUCACCACUUAUCUGUAAUAUCCUUCCUUCUGCAACUUCGACUUUCACUUUUUCUUUCUUGAUCCCCGGAACAUCUGCUUUGAAGAUAUAAGCUUCUGGAGUUUUCUUCGAAUCAAUUCUUGCAUUUACGAAAGUAGAAGUUUCACGAGAAGAGGAGGGGGUGUUGGUGAUUGUGCUUGAAAUUGGGAAGCCUUCGAACGGAUCCCAUAGGUCGAGGGAGAAUGGGUCAAAGAUGUUGCUCCUGCGACCACCGAAGAAGCUUGGAAUCAGAGACAUUUUCUGGGGACUUUGUUGUUUGAAGAAGACAAAAGAUGUACUGUUACAGAGCUUGAAUUUUUCUUUGAUUGUAGCGUUUGAUAAUUUGUUGUUGAUGAAUGAGAGGAGAUGCCGUGAUAUUUAUAGGCGAUGAACCAUGAAACUUAAGUAAUUGGAGUGUAAUCUAGGAUGUUCUCAGAGUAUUCGACGAUAUUCUUCAAUAAGCUAUCCAAUUCGAGGCUAAUCUUCGAUGUUCUUCGGUUUAACUUUCAUUAAUAGAAGAAAUAAGAAGCUUCUACAGUAUUCGAGGGAAUUUUUCUAAAAGGGUCAUGCACAUUAUUGUUCGUCAAGUCAUAAUUUCAAGGGUAAGGUAUAAUGGGUAAAUAAUUUUGAAAUAAAAUGAAGAGUAAAUACAUAAUAAUUACCCACUGAUGUUGGUCGAGAUUUUUAAAAAGACACUUAAACUUUGAAUUCGACCCAUUAUCCUAUGAUUCUUACUUAAUUUAUUGCAAACACACUAUUUUUCGCUGAAUUUUAGUCACAACAAGGAGAGUGAAAUACAUGCGUCAAUCAGAUGCCACCACAUGUCAAAUAUGUUUAAUUUAUAUUUUUAUUAUUAUUUUAAUAAAAUUUUAUUUUUUAUUUAAUUUAAUACCCCACCCCAAAAUCAAUUCAAAAAAUAAUUUUAUAAUUAAAUUGAGAGUUUUAUGAUUGAAUUUAGUUUUAAAGAUAGUUAAAUGAUAUGAUUUAACUGAAAAAUUGAGCUUUAAUGAUAUGAUUUUAAUAAAAAAAAAGCUUCAAUGGAGGAACUUUAAUGAUGAUAUUGUGUUGAAGAGCUUUAAUGGUGUUGAAGAAGAUAUUAUGUUGAAGAAGAAAUGGUGGAUAGUUAAAUGAUAUGAUUUAAUUGUAAAAUGGAGCUUUAAUGAAUGAUUUAAAAAAAUUAUGAAAAGUUUCAAUGGAAGCUUUAAUGGUGAGUUGAGUUAAAGAAGAAAGAGUGGGUGGUUGGAGGGCGGAGAGGGGGUAGGGAUAAUUUUUAAAAAUAAAUAAAUAUUAUUUUUUUUUAAAAAAUAUAAAUUAUAUAUUAAAUUAUUUUACACAUGACAGCUUUUAAUUGGUCAAAAAUGUCAAAUUCAAGCCAUUUCACGCGCCUGUGGUGCAUGUAUACACGUAGAGGGUCAAAAUGGUGUGUUUGCAACGAAAUAAAGAAGAAUCAUGGGGUAAUUAAUCGAAGUUAAAGUUUAGGUAUCUUUUUGUAAAUCUCGGACAAGAGAAGGAGGUAAUUAUGUAUUUACUCUAAAAUGAAAGAUUAAUACAUCCUUGACUACAUAUCUACAUGUUUCAUUAUUUACAUAUUGAAAAUGAUGGUGUUUGUAACUUUUCACAACAUCAUUUAGCAAAAAGUACCUGCACAGUACCAAAUGAUUAAUAUUUGUCUCAUAAAGAGGAAAGAAAAAGCAAGGGCAUAUUGAUAGAUGAGAUUUCCGACAAAUAAGAAACCAAAUCAUUACUAUCACAUGAACCUUAAGUUGUUGCAAUUAAGAGUUCGGAACUAAAGUAUGCCAUGCAACUAAAAAAAGAAUCAUUCUAUGUCAUAUAAAAAAAGUAUUAAAAUAGGUUUUGUGCACUUAUUAAGUGCACAAUGCCUUUCUAUUUUAACGGUAAAUCCAUUCACAGUAUCAGAGAAAGUCAAACUUAGUCAUUUUUUAUGAAUUGUGCACUUAUUAAGUGCACAAUUCAUUUUUUUAUGAAUUAUGCACUAAAUAAGUGCACAAUUCUUAUUAAAAUAGAUUGUGCACUUAUUAAGUGCACAAUGUUUUUUAAAUAAACUGUACACUUAUUAAGUGCACAAUGUUUAUUCACUUUUUACGCAUGACAUUUUCAUUUAAUUUGUUUAUUUAUUUAUUUAUUUAUUUAUUUUUUGAUUGUGCACUUUUUUAGUGCACAAUUCAUUUAUUUAUAUUGUUCACUUUUUUGUACAAUCAAUGGAUUGUUGUGAUUUUGGACUUGUUGAAGAAGAUUAACAAACAACAAAAGGAGCUGAAGGCCAAAAGGAUCUUAAAGCUAAUUUUAAGCAUUAGUGUGAUAUGUAAUCUGAUGAUGUUCAUUUACCUUUUGUGCCAUUGAAAGAGAAUUGUCUAUGUAUGAUGUUUUAUUUUGACGAAUAUAAUAGUAUUUCUCUGUUAAAGUACAAAUACUCUUAACACGAAAAUUUUUAUGGUAGAUGAGGUGCGCCAUGUCAUAUUUAUGUGAGGCUUUUCAUUAUUUGACAAGUGCACAUUGUGGGUCCCGUGUAAUUAUUAUCCUUUUCACUUUUUAUUGAAAUGUCAUGCUUUUUUAUUUUUUAAUUUAUUUACACAAAAUCAAAUAACAUGAAUAAAAUAGGGUGAAAAAAUUAUCAUACAAUUUUUUCUUUUUUAUUAAUAUAAAUUAUCUAACUUUAAAGUUUAUCACACAUAAAUUAUUAUUUUUUUUAUUUUUCAUAUAAAAAAUCAUCCAUUUUAAAAUUAUCACAGUAAUCUUUUUUUCUAAUUUUUAAAUGGCAAUGAAAUGAUAUAAUAAAAUUAUUUAUCAUUAUUUUAUUCAAUAAAAUUAUUUAGAUUAAUAGAUUUAUCUCACGAAGUAACAAUAGAAUUAAAACCCACACUUAGAAAAUAGGAUAGUUUGUAAUUAGCAUCCUUAAUAUAUGUGCAUUUUUUUUAAUUACACUUUAUUUUAUUUUUAAUGUCUUGGCCCUUAAAAUCUCAUUAAAUUCCUACAAAAUUAUAAUUAAUCUCAUUUUAAUUGUUACAAAGACAAAAAAAAAAGGAAAAAAUAGAAUUAAGAAGAAAAAAUAAUAAUAGCCUUUCAAUAUUGAUUCAUACCUCCAGUGAAUUUAUCUUGAAUGACUUUCAAGCCGUCUUUGCUUCUUUAAAUAAUCAAAUUUAAUAUUUCAAAAGUAUAUUUAUUGAAAUUAUUUAUUAGUUUAGUUUGGUUUAUAUUAAAAUCAUGUGUUUUAUUUUUGUUUUUUCAUCCGGUGUCCGAUACCCGCAUUGGAGUACGACUAAUGCUGAUUCGCGCCGCGUAGUGUCCCAUUCGGGGGGAAGCGCACCUUACCAAGAAUUUUUUCAUACCUAGGGCUCAAACCCGAGACCUCUGGUUAAAGGAGGAGCAGCCCCAUCCGCUGUAUCACAUCAUUUGGUGGUAUUAAAAUAUGUGGUUGUAUUAUGGUGAAACUGUUUAGUUUGAAAGCUUAUAACAAUUAUUAUUAUUAUUAUUAUUAUUAUUUAUGCUUUUUAUUUUAUUUUAUGUUUUUAAAGGGUAAUUUAUUUUAUUAUUAUUAUUAUUAUUGUAUUUUAAAUAAAUUGCCCUUUUAAAAUAUAAAAUAAAAUAAAAACUAUAUAUGCUUAUAACAAAUUAUCGUAUUCAUACUAUAAUUUUUUUACAUACAAAUACAUAUUUAUAAUAAUAAACAUUUUAAAUGUCAGCCGUAAAAAGUGAAUAGAGAUUGUGCACUUAAUAAGUGCACAAUCUAUUUAAAAAAUGUUGUGCACAAUCUAUUUUAAAAAAAAUUGUGCACUUUAGUGCACAAUUCAUAAAAAAAAAUGAAUUAUGCACUUAAUAAGUGCACAAUCCAUUAAAAAAUGGAUUGUGCACUUAAAAAUUGCACAAUCUAAGCGUGACCUUCUCUGACGCCGCGAAUGGAUUUGCUGUUAAAAUAAAAAGGCAUUGUGCACUUAAUAAGUGCACAAAGCCUAUUUUAGUAUUUUUUUUUAUAUGACAUAAAAUAAUACUUUUUUUAGUUGUAGGACAUAUUUGGUUUCGGACUCUGCACUUAACUAUAUUUCAUUCUUUUAUAUCAAAUACCUUCGUAGUAUUUAUUGGAAGAGUUCGUUGUGAUGGGAAAAAUACUUUCAUAGUAAGAAAAUCUAGAAAGUACAAACAUGUACUCAAACUAACUUAAAUAAAGUAGAAACAAUUAGAUUAGCUAAAUUAGAAUAUCAUGUAAUGUUGAAAACAUACUGAAAGACAUUCGAGAAGCUAACAUCGACAAGGAAUUAAGCCACUUUUACGUCCAAAACUCUCAUGUUCUCGAUCUUUCUAUUGCAGAAAAUCAACCUGAAAAAUUUAAAAGUAAAUUAUUAUUAUUAUUAUUAUUAUUAUUUAUUAUUAUUAUUAUUAUUAUUAUUAUUAUUAUUAUUAUUAUUUCAUUUCUAAUUCUUUAUUCCAUUUUUGAGAAGAGAAAAACUAAAUUAUAAAGUUGAAGGUUGUUGCCCUUCAAAUUAAAUAAUCUAUAGCCAAUAUAAUCUGGAAAACCUCUAUUUAGAAAGGGAAAAAAAUGAACAUUGAUAUACAUUUAAUAAAGCAAUGGAAAGUUGGACAUUAACCUCCUAGAAAUACUCACUGCAUCUUUUAAAAACCUUAAAUCAGAAACUAUCAAAUCUUUGUUUUUAUUAACAACAGGGACUUCCCCCAAUUCUUGUAGAAAACUUGAGACACAUAAAAUGUGAUUCUAAUGCUUAUUCAUCUCUUGAUUUUUCCAUCAUUAUUUAAAUAUCUACAACAAUAAUAUACUGGUAUAAUUUUAUUGGUGGGGUUUAGGGAGAGUAAAGUGUACACAGAUCUUACCCCUAUAAUUCGUAAAGAUAAGAGAAGUUGUUUCUGAUAGACCCUCAGCUGAAGUGAAGUAUCUCAAAGCAAUUUGAAAAGGGAAAUAUGGAAAUAGAAAUAGUAACAUCAACACUAUAUAUGAAUGCAUGGAGCGGAAUUUACCUUACUGUUUGCCUUUGCAUACGCAAUCAGCUGCUAAGUGUCUGACUCAAGAAUGCCAUCAACUAUAGUAGCCACGCCUCUAAUGAUUGCUUGUUUAAGAGCAGAUAUGGAGGAUGCAACAACAUUGCAUUGAGUUAAGAAAUUAACGAUCAGACAGAUUGUCUUUCAAGAGAUGACGGAGGGCUUGUCACACUACCAACCUUCUGAAAGAUACAAAGCUUAUAAAUACAUCAGUAGUGGGAUGUGCAACACAGCCAGCUUCAACUCUGUAUAACAGGACGGACAACAUUAGUUCAUAUAUCGUUUUGGACACACAACCAAUUGACAUACAUGGACAAAUUGAUUUAUAAUUAAGCCCUAUGUGCUAUAAUGUUGAGUCAAGAUGCUCCGCCUUUUCUAUAGAAGCAGUCAACUGAGUUCUAAACGAAUUAGCUUCUGGCCAUAUUACGCCUGUUGGGUUCAAUAUGUAUGGAAGAAGUGUGAAUAGAAAAUGGAGAGAAAAAGGAUGGAGGGAAGGAAACACUAAUUUAGAAAGUGUACUCUCAAAUUGAAAAGUUCACUAAAUCUCCCACAUUGGUGGGAGAAGAGAACUUUGGAGUAUUUUUAAUAAAGAAUACUUACUCUACAUAGAUAGUGAGGCAAGAACAAGGUGGUGCUUCGUGUUGUUGUCGUCGCUCGGCUCGACUUUGAAUUUGGAUUGAUGGAAUCUAUUAUUUUGGACAAAAUUUAUUUGAUCAAAAUCUGAUCCGAAUAUUCUAAAGGAAAAAUGACAGAAAUGCAGAAAAUUUUUUUGUGUUUUAUCCUCCAUUUAUAUGCAUGUAUACAGUGAACUGAUGCAUUAUUUCGAACUGAACUGAUGCAAUGUUAUGAACUGAUGCUUCAAAAAGAUGCAACCAUUCAGUAAAAAUGAUACACUGAUUCAUGGAAAGGUAUGCUUGUUCGGAAAAGAUACACUGUUUGGACGAAUAGACAUGAUUUUUCAGGAAAGGUUACACCUUUUUAAAUAAACCAUUGCCACUUUUCAGAAGAGGCCAGUUAUGACUAUAUAAACCUGCUUUCAUCCAUAGGUUUAGACAUGAAAAUUUUUUUGAAACAAAAACUCUUCUUGUUUUCAAAUAUUUUGUGUGAUCAAUCAAACUGUUGAGUGAGUUCGUAGAAUCCGUCAAUUUGAGGUACCGUUAUUGUUCGGAUUGAAGUCCAUUUUAUCCUGGGAGGAAGAUUCCAUAACCUCGGGUACAGUGAGGAGAAUUAUUCCAUAAGGACAUUCCAUGAAGUCGGGGGACUUGAUCUAAAUUUCUGUUUCAUCUUUUUCUGAAUAUUAACACACUUCUAAGAUAGAUUAUUCAUAAUCUAGUGUUGAAGGUGUGAAGAAACUUCAUAAGUUCUUGUCUUGAACUUGAACUUUCUUUGAAGUUUCUGUUGCUUAUAUAUAGAUUCUUGUACCCGAAUACAUACAAAAUAACAAUCUUAAGGAAUAAUUCAGAAUCUGUAUUACUUGUUUUUGAAGAUUAAAUCUUUAAACUUUCUACUCCGUUUGAAUUUAACUAGUGAUUAGAAGACAUAAAAUCUUUAUCACAAGUUUAAAAUUCACUCGGUUGACAAUUGGAAGUCAUUAAAACUUCAUUGUUAACUAGAAACAAGAAGAAGAGUUUAAGUUUCUUAACUUUAUAAGUAGUAUUCUGAAAAUACUAAAUAUUAUUGUCUUGUGGUGACAGGAAAAAUAACUAAUGAAAGCCAAAUGCAAGAUGCGGCUACGACUGUGGGGGCAACUAGCAUUGCUUCAACAAGUCGAGCAAAUGCUCCGCAACCAAUGGCACCUGCGGAGAAGCCUGGAAAAUUUACGGGCGUUGACUUUAAGCGAUGGCAGCAAAAAAUGUUCUUUUACCUCACCACUCUAUGCCUUUAAAGGUUCACUAGUGAAGAUGCUCCUGAGGUGCUCGAGGGAACCUCGGACAAAGAGCAUUUCAUGAUUGUAGAAGCUUGAAAAUACUCAGACUUUCUUUGUAGGAAUUAUAUAUUAAGUGGUCUCCAAGACGACCUCUACAAUGUUUACAGUGGAACUAAGACACCGAAGAAAUUGUGGGGGGCACUAGAUCGAAAAUACAAGACAUAGGAUGCGGAAAUUAAGAAAUUCUUUGUUGCAAGGUUCUUGGACUUUAAAAUGAUAUAGAGCAAAUCGGUUGUCUCUCAAGUGCAGGAAUUGCAAGUAAUCAUCCAUGAUCUUCUAGCGGAAGGUUUGAUUGUGAAUGAUGCUUUCCAAGUAGGAUCGAUAAUUGAGAAGCUACCACCAAUGUGGAAGACUUCAAAAACUGCUUGAAGCAUAAAAGCAAGGAGAUGACUGUUGAAGAUCUUAUUAACCGACUGCGUAUUGAAGAGGAUAAUAAAGCUACCGAGAGAAGGUCAAAAGGGAAUUCUGCAAUUAAUGGAGCACAUAUUAUGGAAGAUGACCAAAAUAAUUCUGAGAAAAGGAAGAAAGUUGAACAAGGAAGCAAUCAACCGAAGAAGAAAUUCAAGGAAAAAUGCUUCAAUUGUGGCAAGAUUGGCCAUAAGUCCACGGAUUGUCGAACCCCAAAGAAAGGCAAGAAAAAGGAUCAAGCAAAUAUGAUUGAAUCCAACAAAGAAUGCGAUGAUCUGUGUGCUAUGUUUUCAGAAUACAACUUGGUGGGAAAUCCUCGCGAAUGAUGGAUGGAUUCUGGUGCCACCCGCCAUGUAUGUGCAACAAAGAGUUGUUUUCGUCAUUUGUUCUGGCUCAAGUAGAAGAAAUAAUCUACAUGGCUAACUUCGCUACUGCUAAGGUAGAAGGAACAGGAAAAAUGUGCUUGAAAAUGACUUCAGGAAAAGUUUUGACACUUAACAAUGUCUUGUAUGUUUCAGAGUUACGUAGAAAUUUAAUUUCUGUUUCACUUCUAGACAAGAACGGAUUCAAAUGUGUAACCGUUUCUAGUAAAAUUAUAAUUAGCAAAGGAGAAAUGUAUGUAGGAAAAUGCUAUCUCACCGAGGGCCUUUAUAAGAUGAAUGUAAUGAAUGUUGAAAUAAAUAAAAGUUCAAAUUCUUCUUAUUUUCUUGAGUCUUAUGAUUUAUGGCAUGAACAUUUAGGCAAUGUUAAUUAUAAAACGCUACAAAAACUGAUUAACUUAGAAGUUCUGCCGAACUUUGAGUGCAAUAAAUCAAAGUGUCAACAUGUGUGGAAUCAAAGUAUGCAAAACAUCCUUAUAAGUCUGUUGAAAGGAAUUUCAAUCCCUUAGACUUAGUACACACUGACAUUUGAGAUAUGAAGUCAACACCAUCACGUGGUGGAAAAAAGUAUUUCAUAACUUUUUUUGACAAUUGCACUAGAUAUUGUUAUGUCUAUUUGCUAAAUAGUAAGGAUGAAGAAAUGGGUACGUUUAGGAAAUACAAAAUUGAAGUUGAAAAUCAGUUAGAUAAAAAGAUAAAAAUAAUAAGAAGUGAUAGGGGCAGAGAAUAUAAAUCUCCUUUCGCCGAAAUAUGUGUAGAGAAUGGAAUUGUCUAUCAAACUACGGCCCCGUAUUCACCUCAAUCUAAUGGAAUUGCGGAAAGAAAGAAACAAAUUUUGAAGGAAAUGAUGAAUGCCUUGCUUAUAAGUUUUGGUUUACCGUAAAACUUGUGGGAGGAGACUAUCCUUACAGUCAAUCGUAUACUCAAUACAGUUCCCCAUAGUAAGACACAGUCAAUUUCUUAUGAAAAAUGGAAAGGAAGGAAACCCAACUUGAAAUAUUUCAAAGUGUGGGGUUGUCUAGCAAAGGUCCAAGUUUCUAUGCCUAAGAGGGUUAAGAUAGAACCUAAACUGUGGACUGUGUGCUCAUAGGAUAUGCUAAAAGCAGUAAAGCAUGUCGAUUUUUGGUUCAUAAAUCCAAACAUCCGGAUAUAAAUAAAAAUACGGUAAUUGAAUCAGAUAAUGUUGAAUUCUUUGAAAAUAUUUACCUGUAUAAAACUAGACAUGAACAUUCUAGUGGAGGGUCUAAAUAACCUCGAGAUGAACCAAGUGAGAAUAUGCAUAAUGAAGAGAAUCCAAGAUGUAGUACACGUCGAAGAACUUCUACUACGUUUGGAUCAGAUUUUGUAACUUUUCUCUUAGAAAAUGAGCCUCAAACAUUUAAAUAAGCGGUGUCGACAUCAGACUCAUCCUUUUGGAAAGAGGCAGUCAAUAGUAAGAUUAAUUCAAUCUUAAGCAAUCAUACUUGAAAAUUGGUUGAUUUUCCUCCCGAAAAUAAAUAUUUAGGUUCUAAAUAGAUCUUCAAAAGGAAGAUGAAAGCGGAUGGUACUAUUGACAAAUACAAGGCAAAACUUGUAGUAAAAGGCUUCAAACAAAAAGAAGGUCUUGAUUACUUUGAUAUAUACUUGCCAGUAACAAGGAUAAAAUCAAUUCGAAUGUUAAUUGCCUUAGCUGCGGUAUUUGAUCUUGAAAUUCAUCAAAUGGAUGUGAAAAUCGCUUGCCUAAAUGGAGAAUUGGAGGAAGAAAUUUACAUGGAACAACCUGAGGAUUUUAUGGUUCCAGGAAAGGAAAACAAGGUGUGUAAACUUAUUAAGUCAUUGUAUGGACUAAAGCAAGCACCAAAAUAAUGGCAUGCGAAGUUUGACCAAACCAUGUUGGCAAACAGAUUUAAAAUAAAUGAAUGUGAUAAAUGUGUUUAUAUUAAAGACACUCCAAAUCACCAAGUCAUUGUAUGUUUAUAUGUGGAUGAUAUGUUGAUCAUCAGCAGAGACAUUUCUGACAUAAAUGCAGUUAAAUGAAUGCUCGAGAGCAAGUUUGAUAUGAAAGAACUUGGAGUUGCAGAUGUGAUCUUAGGUAUAAGAAUCCAUCGAACUCCAUAAGGGUUGGCAUUGUCACAGUCUUAUUAUAUCAAAAAUAUACUUGACAAGUUCAAGUAUAUGGAAUUCGGUAUUGCCAAGACUCCAUUGGAUGUGAGCUUUGUACUUCGAAAGAAUGAAGGUGAAAGUGACUCACAAUUGGAGUACGCAAGAGUAUUGGGAUGUUUAUUGUAUACAAUGAAUUGUACACGAUCAAACAUAGCAUGCGCUAUUAGUAAAUUGAGUCGGUACACAAGUAAUCCCAACAAAACUCAUUGGAUGGAAAUGAAAAGAGUGUUGGGGUAUCUUAAAUACACUCAAGAUUAUGCCUUGCAUUAUAAUAAAUAUCCUGCGGUACUUGAAGAAUAUAGUGAUGGAAAUUGGAUCACUGGAUCGGAUGAAGUAAAAUCCAUAAGUGGAUAUUUAUUUACUAUCGGAGGAGGAGUAGUCUCUUGGAAAUCAUCCAAACAGACUUGUAUUGCUCGUUCUACAAUGGAAUCUGAAUUUAUCACAUUGGAUAAAGCCGGUGAAGAAGCAAAAUGGCUUCGAAAUUUCUUGGAAGACAUUCCGUAUUAGCCCAAAUCAGUGGCACCAGUAUGUAUACACUGUGAUAGCCAAGCGACAAUAGGUAGUGUAGGGAGUAUGAUGUAUAACGAUAAAUCUCGUCAAAUACGAGGGAGACAUAAUACCGUUAGAGAACUUCUCUCUAGUGGAAUUAUCAUUAUUGACUACGUAAAGUCAAAGGAUAAUGUUUUGGAUUGACUUACGAAAGGUCUAUCUAGAGAAGGAGUGGAAAGGACAUCCAAGGGAAUGGGUUUAAAGCCUAGGACAAGUCAGCAUGGCGGUAACUCUACCUAGCAGACUGGAGAUCCCAAGAGCUAGGUUAAAGGAGAUCAAACAAAGUUGUGUCUGACAGGUUCAACAUUGUCAAUUACCCAACCCAUUCUCAUGAUGUAGACAAUGUUUAGUAAACAAGGAUAAGACUUAAGGUUAAAAGUCUUUUAAUGAUUAUCUAAAUUUGGCAGAUUUGACCAAAUAGUUUAAUCUAUAGGAUUGAACAUUUAGAAAUCACCUAAGUAAGGACGAAGUGGAAGCUGCUUCAAAGAGAAUGUUAGUAAAGGCCCAUUCUCUAAGCUCUCAUGAAACUGGGACGUGUUCAUGGCUGAAAAAAAUAAAACUGUGAGAACCAUAAACGGUAAAAGGCUGGUUAUGUGACACGUGUUGUCUAGGUGUACAUUAAAGCUCGAUGGUUCAAAGAUAUCAAAUUUGCUAAUUGACCGAGUGCAUCCGAUGCAUGUUCACUACGGAAAGGUCAAAGAAAAACCAACUUAUGCAGAUGCAAUCAGUCUUUACUUGAUGAUCACAUACUUGUCCGUAAAAAUUUUAUGAAAAAUAGCCAUUCCUCAUUCAUGUGGGGAAUUGUUGGGUUCAAUAUGUAUGAAAGAAGUGUGAAUGGAAAAUGGAGAGAAAAAUGAUGGAGGGAAGGAGACACUAAUUUAGAAAGUGUACUCCCAAAUUGGAAAGUUCACUAAAUCUGCCAUAUUGGUGGGAGAAGAAAACUUUGGAGUGUUUUUAAUAAUGAAUACUUACUCCACAUGGAUAGUGAGGCAAGAAAAAGGUGGUGCCUCGCGCCGUCGUCGACGUCGCUCGCUCGGCUCGGCUUCAGCUUCGGCCUCAACUUUGGCGUCGGAUUUGGAUUUGGAUUUGGAUGAAAAUGGAGAGAAAAAUGGUGGAGGGAAGGAGACACUAAUUUACAAAGUGUACUCCCAAAUUGAAAAGUUCACUAAAUCUCUCACAUUGGUGGGAGAAGAGAACUUUGGAGUGUUUUUAAUAAUGAAUACUUACUCCACAUGGAUAGUGAGGCAAGAACAAGGUGGUGCCUCGAGCUGUCGUCGUCGCUCGCUCGACUCGACUUCGGCUUCGACUUUGGAUUUGUCAAAUGAUCGAUCAAUGAGAUCUAUCUAAUCUUUUUGGACAAAAUUUAUUUUAUCAAAAUCUGAUCCGAAUAUACCAAAGAAAAAAUGACAGAAACGCAGAAAAUUUUUCUGUGUGAUCAAUCAAACUGUUGAGUGAUUUCGUAGAGUCCAUCAAUUUGAGGUACCGCUAUUGUUCGGAUUGAAGGCCAUUUUAUCCUGGGAGAAAGAUUCCAUAACCUCGGGUACAGUGAGGGGAAUUAUUCCUUAAGAACACUUCGUGAAGUCGGAGGACUUGGUAUAAAUUUUUGUUUCAUCUUUUUCUGAAUAUUAAAACACUUCUAAGAUAGAUUGUUCAUAAUCUAGUGUUGAAGGUGUUAAGAAACUUCAUAAGUUCUUGUCUUGAACUUGAACUUUCUUUGAAGUUUCUGUUGCUUAUAUAUAGAUUCUUGUACCCAAAUACAUACAAAAUAACAAUGCCUACCACUCCCUUCUCUUUACCUGAUACAAGGCAGUCGAAGUACGCACCACCCUGUAGAUAUGAAUGGCGCGAAGGAAAGGUGCAAAUUAUCAUCUGAUGCAUUUGCUAGACAUCAAAAAAGGAAUUAACUUAUACUAUCGUGUAAAAGUUGUUUAUACUAUUAGACGUAAUUUAACCUGUUAUAACAAAUUACCUACUUUAUUUUACAGGUCACUACUUCCAUUUACUAUGUGAAGUUACAUAUUGCUAUCUUUUAGGUGUGUAAUACUAUUAAUGCAUAUGAGUUAAUUAAAGAAAAGGUCAUAUAAGCUAACGAAAUACUUUUUACACUGAUGCAAUUCAAUCGAUUGUAGUAGGUUUCAUCACCGUAAUAUUUAGGUUAUCAUAUUAGACUUGAUACGAAGAGUUACCAAUUAUUGCGAAUUAUGGUGUUCAGACACUUCAAAAAGGUAGUCACACCCGCGUCGGAUCCUCCAAAAUACAUUAUUUUUGGAGGAUUUAAAAAGCACAUUUUGAUGUUUUUAAAGAUUCCAAGCAACAUAAGUUGUAAUUCAAUAGUAUCUAAUGGUCUAAAAAAAGCAUACGUAGUCAGUGCACAAAACUUAAGCUCGGAGAAUAAAAUGACUUACUUCAUUUGCUUGGUUUGGACAAGCUUGCCAGCAGUAGAAAUAUCAGCAUCAAGUUCUUCAUUUUGGUAGAAAAGUUUAGGAUCAUUUACCAUAUCCAAUUUUCUCUUCUUGUAAGCAGCAACACAAACUUGCAAUAACCUAGUAAAAGGGCUACCAGCAGGAUCCAAAUUUCUAUACAAAGGGUAUCCAAAUAUGAACACAACAAUUGAAAUAAGCAUAGCAAUUAUUGGUACAACAAAUCCAAUGCUCCAUCCAAUAUUAUCUUGAAUGUAAACAAUUAUCGUGACAGCAACAAGCAUUGAAAAUCCCAUUGGCCUGAUUUUGCUUCUUUUUCAUUGAAAAUCCCAUUGGCUUGAUUUUGCUUCUUUUUUCAUGAGCUAUUUACUCAUUCUUCUUUUACUCUGAGUUUGAAAUUGUUAUUUUAUGGUGUUUUCGGGUACAAGAAUCUGUAUUUAGGCACAACUUCAACACUAGUUCAAAUUUAAAACAAGAACCCUAUAAAGUACAAAAACACCCUCAACACAAGAUCGAAGUGAUCUUUCUAAGAAGUGUGUUUUAGUUUUUCAGAAAUUAAGAUGAAAUAGAAAUAUAAAGCCAAGUCCCCCGACUUCAUGGAGUGUCCUUAAGAAAUAAUUUUCCUCACUGUAUCCGAGGUUUUGGAAUCUUCCUCCAAGGAUAAAAUGACUUUCAAUCCAACUAUAGUGGUACCUCAAAUAAUUGAAUUUGUCGAACUCACCCAACGAUUUGAUUGAUCACAAAGAAUGUUUUGAAUACAAGAAGAGUUUUUAUUCCAUAAAAUUUUUCAUUCAUUUCUAAACCUGUAGAUGAAAGCAGGUUUAUACAACCAACAAAUACCUUUUCUGAAAGAUAACAAUGGUUUACUUAAAAGGUGUAUCCUUUGGAAGAGUCAUGUUUGUUCAUUUGAAACAUUGUAUCUUUUUCUGAACAGACACAAUUAUCUGAACAGUCACACCUUUUUCAAAAUAAGAUAUCUUUUGCUCAAAGGUUGUGUCCCUCUAUUUUCCAUUCACACCAAUUAAACCAAACAAUCCCCCAUAUGAAUGGGGAAUGACUAUUCUUUGUAAAACUUUACAAAAAAGUAUGUGAUCAUCGAACAAAGAUUGAUUGCGUCUGGAUAAGUGGGUUUUCCUUUGAACUUUUCGUAGUGAACAUGCAUCGGAUGCACUCGGUCAAUAGGUAGAUUUGAUAUCUUUGAGCCGUCGAGCUUUAAUGUACACCUAGACAACACAUGUCACACAGCCUUUUACCAUUUAUGGUUCUCAUGGUUUUGUUUUUUUCAGCCAUGAACACGUCUUGCUUUCAUGAGAUCUUAGAGAAUAGACCUUUACUAACAUUCUCCUUGAAGCGGCUACCACUUUGCCCUCACAUAGGUGAUUUCUAAACGUUCAAUCCUAUAGAUUAAACUAUUUGAACAAAUAUUCCAAAUUUAGAUAAUCAUUAAAAGAAUUUUCACUUUAAGUCUUAUCCUUAUCUACUAAACAUUAUCUACAUCAUGAGAAUGGAUUGGAUAAUUGACAAUGUUGAACCUGUCUGACACAACUUUGUUUGAUCUCAUUGAACUUAGCUCUUGGAAUCUCCAGUUUACUAGGUAGAGUUACCGCCAUGCUGACUUGUCCUAGGACUUAAACCCAUUCCUUUGGAUGUGCUUUCCACUCCUUCUCUAGAUGGGUCUUUUGUAAGUGGAUCCGACACAUUAUCCUUUGACUUUACAUAGUCAACAGUGAUAAUUCCACUAGAGAGAAGUUCCCUAACGGUAUUAUGUCUCCGUCGUAUGUGACAAGAUUUACCGUUGUACAUUAUGAUUCCUGCCCUACCUAUUGCCGCUUGGCUAUCAUAGUGUAUACAUACUAGUGUCACUGGUUUGGGAAAAUAACAAAUAUCUUCCAAGAAAUUCUGGAGCCAUUCUGCUUCUUCAACGGUUUUAUCCAAUGCGAUAAAUUCAGAUUCUAUGUAGAGCGAGUAAUACAAGUCUGUUUGGAUGAGUUCCAAGAGACCGCUCCUCCACCGAUAGUAAAUACAUAUCCACUUGUGGAUUUUACUUCGUUCGAUCCGGUGAUUCAAUUUGCAUCACUAUAUCCUUUGAGUACCGCGGGAUAUUUAUUAUAAUGCAAGGCAUAGUCUUGAGUGUAUUUAAGAUACCCCAAAACUCUUUUCAUUGCCACCCAACGAGUUUUGUUGGGAUUACUCAUUUACCGACUCAAUUUACUAAUAACGCAUGCUAUAUCUGGUUAUGUACAGUUCAUAGUAUACAUUGAACAUCCCAAUAUUCUUGUAUACUCCAAUUGUGAGUCACUUUUACCUUUAUUCUUUCGAAGUGCAAAGCUCACAUCCAAUGGAGUCUUGGCAGUACCGAAUUCCAUAUACUUGAAUUUGUCAAGUACCUUUUAGAUAUAAUGAGACUGUGACAAUGCCAACCCUUGUGGAGUUCUAUGGAUUCUUAUACCUAAGAUCACAUCCGUAACUCCAAGGUCUUUCAUAUCGAACUUGCUCUAGAGCAUUCGUUUCGUUGCAUUUAUGUCAGAAAUGUCUCUACUGAUAAUCAACAUAUCAUCUACAUAUAAACACACAAUGACUUGAUGAUUUGGAGUUUCUUUAAUAUAAACACAUUUAUCACAUUCACUUAUUUUGAACCCGUUUGCCAACAUGGUUUAGUCAAACUUCGCAUGUCAUUGUUUAGGUGCUUGCUUUAGUCCAUACAAUGAAUUAAUAAGUUUACAAACCUUAUUCUCCUUUCCUGGAACCACAAAACCCUCAGGUUGUUUCAUGUAAAUUUGUUCCUCCAAUUCUCCAUUUAGAAAUACGUUUUCACAUCCAUUUGAUGGAUUUCAAGACCAUAUACUGUUGCCAAGGCAAUUAACAUUCGAAUCGAUGUUAUCCUUGUUACUGUCGAGUAUGUAUCAAAGUAAUCAAGACCUUCUUUUUUCUUGAAGCCUUUUACUACAAGUCUUGCCUUGAAUUUGUCAAUAGUACCAUCCGCUUUUAUUUUCCUUUUAAAGAUCCAUUAGAACCUAAAGGUUUAUUUUCUGGAGGAAGAUCAACCAAUUCCCACAUAUGUUUGCUUAAGAUUGAAUCAAUCUCACUAGUGACUAUCUUUUUCUAAAAGGAUGAGUUUGACGACGACAUCACUUCUUUAAAUGUUUGAGACUUAUUUUUUAAGAAAAAUAUUACAAAAUCUGAUCCAAAUGUAGUAGAAGUUCUUUGAUGUGUACUACGUCUUGGAUUCUCUUCAUUAUGUAUAUUCUCACUUGGUUCAUAUCGAGGUCGUUUAGACCCUCCACAAGACUGUUCAUGUCUAGUUUUAUACGGGUAAAUGUUUUCAAAGAAUUCAACAUUAUCUUAUUCAAUUACUGUAUUUUCAUUUAUAUCCUGAUGUUUGAAUUUAUGAACCAAAAACCGACAUGCUUUACUGCUUUUAGCAUAUCCUAUGAAUACGCAGUCCAUAGUCUUAGGUCCUAUCUUAACCCUCUUAGGCAUAGGAGCUUUAACCUUUUCUAGACACCUCUACACGUUGAAAUAUUUCAAGUUGAGUUUUCUUCCUUUCCAUUUUCAUAAGGAAUUGAUUGUGUCUUGCUAUGAAGAACUCUAUUGAGUAUAUGGCUGUAAGGAUAGCCUUCCCCCACAAGUUUUGUGGUAAACCAAAACAUAUAAGCAAGACAUUCAUCAUUUCUUUUAAAGUUUGAUUUUUUCCGCAAUUUUGUUAGAUUGAGGUGAAUACAGGGCCUUAGUUUGAUGGAAAAUUCCAUUCUCUACACAUAUUUUGGCGAAGGGAGAUACAUAUUCUCCGCCCCUAUCACUUCUUAUCAUUUUUAUCUUUUUCUCUAACUGAUUUUCUACUUCAGUUUUGUAUUGCCUAAAUGCAUAUAUUGCUUCAUACUUACUAUUUAGCAAAUAGACAUAACAAUAUCUAGUGCAAUUGUCAAUAAAAGUUAUGAAAUACUUUUUCUCACCACAUGAUGGUGUGACUUCAUAUCACAAAUGUCAGUGUGUACUAAGUCUAAAGGAUUGAAAUUCCUUUCAACGGACUUAUAAGGAUGCUUUGCAUACUUUGAUUCCACACACGUUUGACACUUUGAUUUAUUGCACUCAAAGUUUCGCAAAACUUCUGAGUUAAUCAACUUUUGUAACAUUUUUUAAUUAACAUGACCUAGACGUUCAUACCAUAAAUUAUAAGACUCAAGCAAGUAAGAAGAAUUUGAACUUUUAUUUAUUUCAACAUUCAUUACAUUCAUCUUAUAAAGGCCCUCGGUGAGAUAGUCUUUUCCUACAUACACUUCUCCUUUUCUAAUUACAGUUUUUUCUGAAACGAUUACACAUUUGAAUCCGUUCUUUUCUAGAAGUGAAACAAAAAUUAAGUUCCUAUGUAAUUUCAAAAUGUACAAAACAUUGUUAAUUGUCAACACCUUUUCUGAAGUCAUUUUCAAGCCCACUUUUCCUGUUCCUUCUACCUUAGCCGUAGUGGAGUUAGCCAGGUAGAUUAUUUCUUCCACUUGAGCCAGAGCAAAUGACGAAAAUAACUCUUUGUUGGCACAAACAUGGCGGGUGGUACCAAAAUCCAUCCACCACUUGGGAGGAUUCCCCACCAAGUUGCAUUCUGAAAGCAUAGCACACAGAUUAUCACAUUCUUUGUUGGACUCAAUCAUAUUUGCUUGGUCCUUUUUCUUGCCUUUCUUAGGGGCACGAUAAUUUGUGGACUUAUGGCCAAUCUUGCCACAGUUGAAACACUUUCUCUUGAAUUUCUUCUUGGGUUGAUGGCUUCCUUGUUCAACUUUCUUCCUUUUCUUAGAAUUGUUUUGGUCAUCUUCUACAAUAUGUGCCCCAUUAAUUGUAGAAUUCUCUUUUGACCUUCUCUCGGCAGCCUUGUUAUCCUCUUCAAUACGUAGUCGGACAAUAUGAUCUUCGAUAUCCAUAUUCUUGCGUUUGUGCUUUAAGUAGUUUUUGAAGUCUUUCCAUAUAGGUGGUAGCUUCUUAAUGAUCGUUGCUACUUGAAAUGCAUCAUUCACAAUCAAACCUACAAAACAGUUUAUGUGAGUACUAAGAACAUUUUCAAUUUGUUUAACUAAGGUAUUUUUCAAAGAUAUACCUUCUGCUAGGAGAUCGUGAAUGAUUACUUGCAAUUCCUGCACUUGAGAGACAACCAAUUUGCUAUCUAUCAUUUUAAAGUCUAACAACCUUACAACAAAGAAUUUCUUAAUUCCCGCAUCCUCUGUCUUAUAUUUUCAUUCUAGUGACCCCCACAAUUCGUUUAAUGUCUUAGUUCUACUAUAAAUAUUAUAGAGGUCGUCUUGGAGACCACUCAAUAUAUAAUUCCUGCAAUGGAAGUCUGAGUGUUUCCAAGAUUCUACAAUCAUGAAAUGCUCUUUGUCUGAGGUUUCCUCGGGCACCUCAGGAGCAUCCUUAGUAGUGAACCUUUAAAGGCAUAGAUUGGUGAGGUAAAAGAACAUCUUUUGCUGCCAUCGCUUAAAGUCAAUGCCCAAAAAUUUUCUGGACUUCUCCGCAGGUGCCAUUGGCUGCAGAGCAUUUGCUUGACUUGUUGAAGCAAUGCUAGUUACCCCCACAGUCGUAGCCGCAUCUUGCAUUUGACUUUCGUUAGUCAUUUUAUUGUCACCACAAGACAAUAAAAUUUAGUAUUUUCAUAAUACUAUUUAUAAAGAUAAGCAACUUUAAACUUUUCUUCUUGUUUCUAGUUAAUGAUGAAGUUUUUAUGACUUCCAAUCGUCAACCGAAUGAUCUUUAACUUGUGAUGAAGAUUUUCUGUCUUCGAAUUACUAGUUAAGUUCAAAUGGAGUACAAAGCUUAAAGCUUUAAUCUCUAAAAACAAGCAAUACAGAUUCUGCAAAAAAUUAUUUCUUAAGAUUGUUAUUUUAUGGUGUUUUCAAGUACGGGAAUUUGUAUUUAGGCACAACAACUUCAACACUAGUUCAAGUUUAAAACAAGAACACUAUGAAGUACAAAAACACAAGAUCAAAGUGAUCUUUCGAAGAAGUGUGUUUUAUUUUUUCAGAAAUUAAGAUGAAACAGAAAUAUAAAGCCAAGUCCCCCGACUUCACGGAGUGUCCUUAAGAAAUAAUUUCCCUCAUUGUACGCGAGGUUUUGGAAUCUUCAUCCCAGGAUAAAAUGACUUUCAAUCCAACUAUAGUGGUACCUCAAAUAAUUGGAUUUGUCGAACUCACUCAACGAUUUGAUUGAUCACAAUGAAUGUUUUGAAGACAAGAAGAGUUUUUAUUCAAGAAAAUUUUUCAUUCAUUUCUAAACCUGUAGAUGAAAGCAGGUUUAUAUAGCCAUCAGAUGCCUCUUCUGAAAGGUGGCAAUGAUUCACUUAAAAGGUGUAUCCUUUGGAAGAGUCAUAUCUAUUCAUUCAAAACAUUAUGUCUUUUUCUGAACAGACACAACUAUCUGAAUAAUCACACCUUUUCCAUACAUAAUAUAUUUUUUGCUCAAAGGUUGUGUCCCUCCAUUUUCCAUUCACACCAAUUAAACCCAACAGAAACAAAUGAAAUCUCACCAUCUUAGUGUGACUGCAUGUUGUUGAAGAGUUUUUCAUUGAAUGAAAAAACGGAUAGGUGACCUCAUCUUAUGGCCUUGGAUAACCUUAACCUUCUGAGCUAACUUUUGGAGUUAAGAUAACUUUAAGAUCUACUAUUUCUUUUUCGAAUAAUGCCAACCAACUCGACCAAGACAUUUAUAUGAAAAAGAUAAAAAAAAAAAAGAUGUGUUAAGUUAGUGUUUUCCCAGCCGACUCGCACACCACCAUCUUUUUUUAGAUUGAAGAAGUAUCAAGAGAAGGUCCACCUCAUCUAAUAUUUAUCGAUAAGUGGGCUUCCCAUAUCAACUUAUUCACUCUCCAAAUAUCCAACCAUGAGUAAGAUCUAUUUCUUAAUACUGGCAACAAGUAUCGAUUGACUUUUACUUUAAUCAUAAGAUUAGAUUCAGUGCCAGACUCUAUGCAUUGUGUUACCACUUAGCAGAGUGCUGUGUUUUUAAUGAACGAUCGAUCGCUACCCCCUGAGUCGCAAUUGACCAUUUCAAUAGACAUAUAGGCAAGGAAACUUCAGUAUGUAUACUUUUCUGUUGAACAUGAGACAACUUGCUUGGGUGUCGAAGAAAGAGAGCCAAAGGGCUAGAUAGAGAGAGGAGAGGGUACUCAAUACUCACCAUUGGCUCUUCACUCCUGUUUUCAAUUAGCAAAAUUAAGAGAGACAUAUCAACAAUUUCAAUACUGUAAAAUAGUUCAAAAUCCUGAAUUUUGCACUGCAUGUAAAAAAGAAAUUCAAAAAUUUAAUCAGUACAAUGAGGUCGGAAAAAAAAUCUCAACAAUGGUUGAUCUAAAAGUUAAUGAACAAAGGAAAAGAGACAUGGCAAAACAAUAAUAGCAAUUUGCCUGAAUUGUACUGGAAUAGAAAAAUUGAAAAGAGGGGAAGAGUCUUAAAACAAAAGAACUUUAUUAUGCAUUCUAACGCUAUAUUCAAAUAUUCUUCCUUCUAAUUAAAAUAGUUGAAGGAUGAAAUUAACAAACAAUGAGAAAACUCGGAAAGAAAGCAGACCAAGAAUUUGAAAUAUGAAAAAGAAUCAAAAACAUGCAAAAUUAAACUGACCGGACGCUAGAAGCCUAAAACCAAGCAAUCCUAGUAGCAGGUUUGAGCAAACAAUUGAUUAAAUGAUAGGGAGAUCCAGCAAAAUUGUUUGAGCAAAAAACAAAGAAAAAGGAGAGCAACCAAAUGAACAGAUGGAGAUCAGAUCGGUGAAAGGAUGGAUGGUAUGGAUAAACGUGGUAAAUUUAGUGCAGGUUGAAUGACACAUAAGGAAAGUAGAGGUGAAGACGAAAAUGCCCUUAGUGCUUAAACAAGCAUGUUGAAACAUAGCCUUUCCUAAUAUAGUAGUAAUAAUAAUAAUCAAUGGCGGAUGUAGAGUAGAAGGUGUGGGUUCCCGGGAACCCACACCCGCUACCGUAAGACUUAAAAUUACAUAAAAAAAUCGUCAAAAGUUAUAAAUAUUAAUAGGUGGGAACCCAUAACUAAACCAAGGGAUAACUUAGUGACAGGAAAGGAGCCCUUGUGAACCCACAAGUUUAUAAUUCUGGAUCCGCCUCUGAUAAUAAUUGAGGAGCUCCUAGGUUGAAAAUCACCAAAACAAAAAAUAGUAUUUACUACUUACCAUAAACGAAGAAAAGGAUAAAUAUAUCCUCAUAACUAUAGUAGGUAUAGGUCAUUUGUUAUAUUUUGAGUACAUAUAUAUUCUUAUCAUUAAUAAAAUAGUACGUAUAUGUUCCUCAGAUUAAUGUCAAAGGCAUAUAUGUAUCCAAAGUAUGACGGUGAUCAUAUGCAUAUCAUGUACCAUAGUUCAAUGGUAUAUUUAUCUCCUUUUCGUUUUAAUUUUUGUAACCCCAAUAAUUAACGGAAACCUACUAUCCAACUCAAUAGAAUCACUAUCCGAUCUUGUCUCAAUUAAAAUUAAAGGAACACCUAACAUAUGCAUUUUUCUCACUCUUGUAACAAUAUAUACACAUAAGCCAGUAACACGCACUACUAUCAAUUUUAAAAAAGAAAUCAUUAACUUGUAACACCUAAAAACAACAUCCAAUAAAUUCAUGUCUCAAUUUUUCAGCGAAAUUUCAUCGAAAAAAUACAAUCCACCACCGGUCAGCACCAUAUAGCCACCGUCUAUGUCGAAUAAAAAAACAUGCAUUGGCGAACCACAUCGCACCGCUAGCUCCAACCACCUUCGACCUAAUCUCCACUCCCUCCAACCCGCAAACACCAACGAAUAGCAUUGAUCAAUCACUGUAAUUUGAUUGUGCUUCAAGUUUAAAAGAAAAAUAGAGAGAGUAUUGAAUUUGAAACAAAAAUAGAAAUUGGAUCGAGUUGGUCUGCAAAGGUUCAAUGGGUUUAUUGAGUUGAAUAGGGAGUUUGAAUUAAUUAUUUUAAAUAAAAAAUUAAACGAAAAAGAAACAAAUAUAUCCCAGAAUUAUGAUAAAUAAUACGUAUAAAUAAUACGUAUAUACUCUACAUUAUACUUUGUGUACAUAUAUGUCCCUACCGUUAGUGUCAGAGAUAUACAUAUAAUUUCAUUAACGAAUAUAUACGUAUCAUUUAUCAUAAUCCCAAUAUAUAUUUACUCUUUUUCCGUACAAUAAAUAAGGAACACAAACUAACCGUCCACCCUGGAAAGUCUACCAAGGUACUACUACCAAUUACUAACAAGACAAGGAGUGGUAUUUGUUAUAGUUUGAGGCUUAGCUUUACUAGCCGAAGCUCCUGGACUCAAAAUCUAUCUUCCAAGACCCACAUCCUCAUUUCGUUGUCUCCGUCAAUCAGCCAUUAGCGUAUGUAAUUAAUUUGCGUAGUGGCAUGUUCGUAUCAGUGGUGAAACCGAGAUAUUUACUAAGGAGUUCAUAAGUGAACAAAUGAAUUAACCAAAGAUGGUCAACAUCUAAUAUAUAUACAUAAAAUUUAAUUUUAAUCAUGUAUAUAUAGCAUAAUUUUUUGUCGAUCUGAACCCCCUCGGCAAAGGGUAGAUCCGCCACUGGUUCGUAUAUUUUACGCGGACCCUUAAUGAGUCUAAGAUUAGAUAUUUGGUUUCAUCAACACAUUCUUCGUACAGACUGCAAAUAAAGAAAAACGGAGAAUGAAAUUGGCAAGCUUGUGACGUGACUAUAUGAAAGCAGUAAUGGUCCUGCAAGUGAAGUGAUGAAGCGGAUGAUUUCAUAAACUUCAAAAGAAAAAAAGACAGAGAAAUAAUACUGGAUAAUGUCAUUACAUAAGCACGGGAAACAAUCCCUAAGAUCGAAUACAUUUGAUUAUAUCAGAGUUCAGUAAGUGCUGAAGCCAAGUUGAAAUUAUAUGCCCCGUAUUGCAUAAAGCAUAUAAAGCUGAAAUGCGUUUAAGAUAUACAAUCCACUUGUUGCUAAUCUUACAUCCAAAACCUUUAUGUAGAUUUGAAUACCAAAAUCAAAACUUCCAAAACCUUUAUGUAGAUUUGACCAUAAAAGAAUAAUCUUCAUAGGUUAAGAUUCCUUUUUAGAAGUUUUGAUAAAAUAAAGAAAAAAACCGCACUCUCCCUUAGGAGCGGAGCCAGCCUCAGAAAAAUAUAUUAUUUAUACGUGAUUAAAAUUCAUUUUUAUAUGAUUAUAGUAAAUGUUAAACUCCCUUUAACUAAGUUUUCUUUGAAUAUAAAACCCUUAGUUAAAAUCCUAAUUUUUUUAAUUUUUUUUUUGAAUAUGAAUCUCCUUCAUUAAAAUCCUGAUUCCGCCUCUGCUCUCCCUAGUUAAAAAACAUCACCCAAUCUAGAGCCUAAUUACAAAAAAAAAUAGUGUUCUUCUAUGCUUCCCUUUAGAUCUACGCUUCCCUUCAGAUUAUUUAAGAAAGUGAGGACUAAUCAAAUCAAUUAUCUCAAGGAACUCAACACGCUUCUUUCCAUCAAAAAUCUCAUCACAAAUUAUGACCUCCUUGUUUUGAGGAUCCUAUAAAGGCCCGUAAAAGAAAGAGUCGGCAGCGCAAAGAGUGGAGAUACGCUAUCAGAAAGCAUUCCCUUCUUUUCACCAACCUCUCGGAUAAACCAUAGAGAGCAUCAUGUUAGAUAUCAACACUAGAAAGCUAAAGCCAGAUUACACACCCAACACAAUGCAACAAAAGAUUUGACAUACUAAUUACAGUACUACAUAGACCGGUAGAAGACAGCAGUCCAAAUGCGCUAAGCAUUCCAAAACUUCCAAUAGAUACUUAAGAUGGCAUCUAGGUAGACAAAGGUAGCAAAUCAGAAGCAUGCAAAAAGCCAGCAAUUGUGGCAAAGAACAUAGAUUAGAACCAGUAUAUUCUUUCUCAACAUAUAUACCACUAGAUAAAAUUUCCGGUGUUAAAGUAAGCAUAUCGAAUGAAAAUAACAAAUUUACAUCUUUGUUCAUAGAAGAGACGAAAUGAAGCUCAACCCACGAAAACAUUAAAGAUCAAUCGAACAACUACAAACAUGUAAAAGAAAAAACUGCAUCAAUAGCCAUUUCAGAUAAGAGUGAGCAACUACUUCAGUCAAAUGUUAAAAUUUAUGCCACAUGGAAAGGAUGUUGCAACAAGGUUUCACCGGGAUUCGCUUUAAAGGAGAGUGAAAAUUAGGGGCCAGAAAAACUCAAGACAUACUAAUUCAAGGGAAGGAAAAGAGAACCAGAAAUCUUAAAUAAAUGUAAAGGAAAUUAUUCAUUAAUCAAGCUCAUACAACAAUUUCUUGUUUACAACUACAAAGCCAAGACCCACAACUUAGAUAAUUACACACACACAAUUCAGAUUACACCAAACACAAUAGACAAAGGACUUUCAACAAAAACAGCUGAUCUGCAUGCACUUGUUUAACCAGAUAUGUCAAUUGCCUUGACCUCAGGUUUCUUCUCCUCUUCUUUCGGAACUGUUACAGUGAGCACUCCAUCCUCCAUAGCUGCCUUAAUUUCCCCUGUUUUCGUAUUCUCCGGCAGCCUAAAUCUCCUCAAAAACUUGCCACUGCUCCUCUCCAUACGGUGCCACUGAUCAUUCUUCUCCUCUUGCUCUCUGCUCCUCUCACCGCUUAUCUGUAGUAUCCUUCCUUCUUCAACUUCGACUUUCACUUCCUCUCUCUUGAUCCCCGGAACGUCUACUUUGAAGAUGUGCGCUUGUGGGGUCUCUUUCCAAUCGAUUCUUGCAUUUGCGAAAGCAGAGGUUUCACGAGCAGAGGAGGGGGUGUUGGCGAUUGUGCUUGAAAUUGGGAAGCCUUCGAACGGAUCCCAUAAGUCGAGGGAGAAUGGGUCGAAGAUGUUGCUCCUGCGACCACCGAAGAAGCUUGGAAUCAGAGACAUUUUUUGGGGAC
This 37779-nucleotide long non-coding RNA is filed under the name Capsicum annuum. Its description in RNAcentral is "long non-coding RNA (CANN_LNC013223)". Lineage: Eukaryota; Viridiplantae; Streptophyta; Magnoliopsida; Solanales; Solanaceae. The record is from RNAcentral.